This 1403-nucleotide long non-coding RNA is filed under the name Rattus norvegicus (Norway rat). RNAcentral describes it as "long non-coding RNA NONRATT007852". The record is from RNAcentral. Lineage: Eukaryota; Metazoa; Chordata; Mammalia; Rodentia; Muridae.
ACUGAGCCACGCCCCCAGCCCCUCACUGGGGAUUCUAGGCAGGGGCUCUACCACUGAGCCACGCCCCCAGCCCCUCACUGGGGGACUCUAAGCAAGGGCUCUACCGCUGAGCCACGCCCCAGCCCCUCACUGGGGAUUCUAGGCAGGGGCUCUACCACUGAGCCACGCCCCCAGCCCCUCACUGGGGGAUUCUAGGCAGGGGCUCUACCACUGAGCCACGCCCCCAGCCCCUCACUGGGGGACUCUAAGCAAGGGCUCUACCACUGAGCCACGCCCCAGCCCCUCACUGGGGAUUCUAGGCAGGGGCUCUACCACUGAGCCACGCCCCCAGCCCCUCACUGGGGGAUUCUAGGCAGGGGCUCUACUGCUGAGACAUGUCCCCAGCCCUCAUUGGGGGAUUCUAGGCAGAGGCUCUACUGCUGAGACAUGUCCCCAGCUCUCUCUUGACUUGAUUUUGAGACAAGGUUUUACUGAGUUGCCAAGACUGGCCUGAAUCUCACUCUGUAGCCCAGGCUGGCCUUGGACUCACAUUCUUCUUAGAAUUCUCUUGCUUAGCCUGCCACUGGGAUCAUAGACUUGCCUCGUUAUACUAAUCUACUGCUACUGCUAAUAAAUACCUUUAAACCGGAGACUUCCCGGUCCCCAGAAAGGCUCCCUAUAGCUUAGUAUUCUCUUAAAACCCAAUGAAGAGAACAGCAGCUUUACCCUGUGUGUCCACAUGAGGGCGCUACAACACUCAGCCAUGGGGUGAUGUGUUCAAGCCUCUCCCACAAAUUUUAUGGGUGCAUUUCUUCACUGUGUGUUCUCUAAUGAGAAGCACUGGGCCACCCCUGCAUGGUUUUUCUUGCCAGUUUCUCUUGUAGCUCUCUCCCAGCAAACAGCCAUAUUCAGCACACUCCUCACUCGUGCAUCGCCAUGGCCCUUCCUUGUGACUAAUUUAGGGGCCAGAUGACUUAGCUGAUACCGUCUGAAAUGAAUGAGCUGAUAACUGUCCGUAGGUUAGGGUUCUGACCAAAGGUUCUUCGAGGCACUAGGAAAAGGGAUUAAUUGACGUACCUUCACUAGCUUAGGGCUUUUCUCCAGUGUGAAUUCUCUGACGUUGAAUGAGUUUCGUGAUCUUGAAAGCCCUCGGGUGGUCACUGUUGUUGGGAGAUUUCUGUUGCACAGGAAGUAACCAGGGUGCAUGGGACACUGGCUGACACCUCCCACACCCUCGGGACUAUCUCCAAGGUGAAUGUUGUAACAGUGUUAAGCAGGUCGGGUGCCUCUAUGAAACUGCUUUGUACUCACAAGUCAAUGAUGCUUCUGCUGGUACAAGUUACAAAUGCCACAGUGUUAAAUAAACUUGAUCUAGACACAGCCAGCCAUGCUUCUUUCUUUUUCUUUCUCCUCUCUCUCUCUCU